GUAAAUUUAAGUUAUAAGAAACUGUAAGAUUCAUGGUCUUAAUAAACUCUCAUUGGUAAUUUAUA
RNAcentral lists this transfer RNA (65 nucleotides) under Obrimoposthia wandeli. RNAcentral describes it as "tRNA-Met". Lineage: Eukaryota; Metazoa; Platyhelminthes; Tricladida; Uteriporidae. The record is from RNAcentral.